AAAUCUGAGGCACUGGGCCAGGAAAUGAAUGAUGAAGGUGAAUGCUACCAAUGAAGCACCUAUCAACCUGUAUGGUAUGAAGGAAAAGCAUUCUGAGGUGAUAAAAAGGUGUUACAUUGUGUGACACAGAGAUUGGAAAGCUGCAGUACAUACAUAAGAUGAAGCAUUCAAACAGAACUGAGAAACUCUGAAUUUGAGGACAUCAGCUGGAGCCCCUCUCUUUUACCCAGUGUGGCUCUGGGAUUUUACCUCUGUCGUGUCGUGCACAGUGAGAUAAGGACAGGAAGAGUCCCCUCAUCUGGCUUUCAGGACUGGACAAAGACAUCCCACAUUACAGCUGAAGGAGAGUGAUACCUCUACUGUAGGAGUACUCUCAAGAACAAGAAUUUCUGCUCAUAUUGGGACAUUCCUGUAUUCUAAAAAUUACCACAGAUGAAAUUAGCUGGACAGCAGACCUCAGCUGCAGAGCCUCAGGGCAGAAAAGGUUCCAGAAACCCCAUGGAUGGAUGGACAGCUGGUUGAAAGAAGUCAGGUGGAUCCGUAUUAAAGUAGCUUUGAUUCAGUCACACAUGCAUAUGAUGAGAGCAUACACCACAUAGGCAUACACACCCAGACAUAUGCUGCAUGUAUACUCCUGCCUAGCACUGCAUGUUCCACUGCCAUUGUGUCCUAGG
Molecule: long non-coding RNA, 674 nt
Filed under: Oryctolagus cuniculus (rabbit)
Lineage: Eukaryota; Metazoa; Chordata; Mammalia; Lagomorpha; Leporidae
Description: lncRNA (ENSOCUG00000035879.1)
Source: RNAcentral